Molecule: long non-coding RNA, 1140 nt
Filed under: Numida meleagris (helmeted guineafowl)
Lineage: Eukaryota; Metazoa; Chordata; Aves; Galliformes; Numididae
Description: lncRNA (ENSNMEG00000013847.1)
Source: RNAcentral
AUGGCUCUUUGCCAUCUUUGCUCGUGCCCGGGGCCGGUCCUGGCACGGGCCUACCACCCGGGGUCCCUGCGCGGUGCCAAGCCUCGGCCCAGGGCAAGGCGGAGGGGUGCGGAGCCGCCCUCGGGCGCGGAGCCUCGCUCCCGGCCAGCCGCCGGCUGGCCCUACCGCCCCGCGGAUGAGCCCGGUCCGGAGAGCCCCAAUAGGACCUCGCCUGCCGGCGGGGCCGGCCGGGAGCCGAGGGGCCGCAGGUGGCGGCGGGAGCCCUCUCGGCCACCACCCCCUCCCGCGGCCCGGCCGCGCUUCCGCCCGUGUCAGCUGACUGCCGCGAGGAAGCGGCGGCGCGAGCCCCGGCCCAGCCCCGAGUCGCUGCCGCCUGCGGAGUACCGUCCCGGCCCCCUCCACCAUGGCAGGGCUGGUGGUGAGCGGAGCCCAAUGUAUUGAAGAGUCUGCAAGAAGGUCUGAGCUGCCCACGGCCAAUCUGAUGCUGGGAGCUGUGGGAAUGUUUCCAAGCAUUUCUUUGGGAUACUGAGCUGGGUACCAAUGAUAAGAGUGUUUGAUGGUGACCACCUGCAUCCAGUUUGAGAUGGAGAAUUAGGCAAUGGAGACAUCUACAUCUAGUUCUCAUCCCAUGGGGUGUUCUGUGCUGGGUAGAGAGAAUCGGAGAAACCUGCUGUUACUGGUGUGCCUUGUACCAAAAGAGCGAAGUUGUCUUGGUCAAGGCGUAUUUGCUCUCAUCUCUCAGUGAUGACAUCUUCAGAUAUGCACUUGAAAGCUCAUACUUGUUUUAAGGUUAUUUGAGAUGGAUGCAAAAGGAAGAUUGUAUAUAUUUGAUUGUUUUUCUGAGCAAAUUAUUUUGAAAUGAAGGACUAAAAAUGAAGAAACAUUAUUUUUUGCUUGUCCAGACUGCUGAAGCCUUGCUACAUAUCAACAUUGUUCGAGCAGCAGGAAAGUGAAGAAAUAAUACUCUCAAAAACUUGUUGGAAAAGUCUUAUUGUGUAUUGCGUAGCUGGUGAUCUGUCAGUUGCUGCUGUUGUUACAGUCAAGAGAGCUCUUGAGUAUCCCAAGCAAGUUUAUGUAGAAGGGGUAGAGAUCUGAAGUGAGUGUACUUUGUAGGAAAAUAAAUCUCUUGGCUUUAAUUCA